GUGACCUCAAAUCAGGUAGGACUACCCGCUGAACUUAAGCAUAUCAAUAAGCGGAGGAAAAGAAACUAACAAGGAUUCCCCUAGUAACUGCGAGUGAAGCGGGAAAAGCUCAAAUUUAAAAUCUGGCAGUCUCUGGCUGUCCGAGUUGUAAUCUAGAGAAGCGUUAUCCGCGCUGGACCGUGUACAAGUCUCCUGGAAUGGAGCGUCAUAGAGGGUGAGAAUCCCGUCUUUGACACGGACUGCCAGGGCUUUGUGAUGCGCUCUCAAAGAGUCGAGUUGUUUGGGAAUGCAGCUCAAAAUGGGUGGUAAAUUCCAUCUAAAGCUAAAUAUUGGCGAGAGACCGAUAGCGAACAAGUACCGUGAGGGAAAGAUGAAAAGAACUUUGGAAAGAGAGUUAAACAGUACGUGAAAUUGCUGAAAGGGAAACGCUUGAAGUCAGUCGCGUUGGCCAGGGAUCAACCUUGCUUUUGCUUGGUGUACUUUCUGGUUGACGGGUCAGCAUCAAUUUUGAUCAUUGGAAAAAGGUUGUAGGGAAUGUGGCAUCUUCGGAUGUGUUAUAGCCCUUCACUGCAUACAAUGGUUGGGAUUGAGGAACUCAGCACGCCGCAAGGCCGGGUUUUAACCACGUACGUGCUUAGGAUGCUGGCAUAAUGGCUUUAAUCGACCCGUCUUGAAACACGGACCAAGGAGUCUAACAUGCCUGCGAGUGUUUGGGUGGAAAACCCGAGCGCGCAAUGAAAGUGAAAGUUGAGAUCCCUGUCGUGGGGAGCAUCGACGCCCGGACCAGACCUUUUGCGACGGUUCCGCGGUAGAGCAUGUAUGUUGGGACCCGAAAGAUGGUGAACUAUGCCUGAAUAGGGUGAAGCCAGAGGAAACUCUGGUGGAGGCUCGUAGCGAUUCUGACGUGCAAAUCGAUCGUCAAAUUUGGGUAUAGGGGCGAAAGACUAAUCGAACCAUCUAGUAGCUGGUUCCUGCCGA
RNAcentral lists this ribosomal RNA (978 nucleotides) under Thaxterogaster dulcamarus. RNAcentral describes it as "partial 28S ribosomal RNA". It matches the Rfam family "Eukaryotic large subunit ribosomal RNA", at positions 1 to 964 of the family's 3401-position model. Lineage: Eukaryota; Fungi; Basidiomycota; Agaricomycetes; Agaricales; Cortinariaceae. The record is from RNAcentral.